Molecule: non-coding RNA, 113 nt
Organism: Acanthosepion pharaonis
Lineage: Eukaryota; Metazoa; Mollusca; Cephalopoda; Sepiida; Sepiidae
Source: the annotation of a GenBank genome assembly
UUAUGACCAUAUCACAAUGAAACAUGAGUUCCUGUAUGAUCAUCAAAGUUAAGCAAUGUCAAGCCUGGUCAGUAUCUUGAUGGGUGACAGCUUGAGAAUACCAGGUGCUGUAA